RNAcentral lists this ribosomal RNA (165 nucleotides) under Leptographium longiclavatum. RNAcentral's name for it is "partial 5.8S ribosomal RNA". The stretch from base 1 to 102 matches the Rfam family "5.8S ribosomal RNA", at positions 53 to 154 of the family's 154-position model. From Rfam's summary of the family: 5.8S ribosomal RNA (5.8S rRNA) is a component of the large subunit of the eukaryotic ribosome. It is transcribed by RNA polymerase I as part of the 45S precursor that also contains 18S and 28S rRNA. The record is from RNAcentral. Lineage: Eukaryota; Fungi; Ascomycota; Sordariomycetes; Ophiostomatales; Ophiostomataceae.
CUGCGAUAAGUAAUGCGAAUUGCAGAAUUCAGCGAGCCAUCGAAUCUUUGAACGCACAUUGCGCCCGCCAGCAUUCUGGCGGGCAUGCCUGUCCGAGCGUCAUUUCCUCCCUCACGCAGCGCGCCUGCGUGGUGUUGGGGCGUUCUGCGGCCAGGCCUGCGCCCA